CUUUAUUAGGGGUGUCACCUGCCCAAUGCUUUGAAAUAACUUAAAUUAAUUUAAGAAAACCAAAGUCAAUGGCCGCGGUAUUUCUGACCGUGAUAAUGUAGCGAAAUCAAUCGUCACUUAAUUGCUGACCGGUAUGAAUGGUAGUACGAAUGUUCCCCUGUCUCUAGAAAAGGGCCCAUGAAAUUGUAGGGAUUGUGAAUAUACAAUCCAAUUCUUGUAAGACGAAAAGACCCUAUUGAGCUUUACUAUAGGUUCCCCUUAAAUCUAAAGGUUUGACCUAACCGGAAACCCUUUAUUAGGGGGAACCAGGUAGUUUCGUUGGGGCGACGGCCUCCCACAAAGUAACGGAGGCUAACAAUAAUAUUUUCAUAAUGAAAAUUGUUUGACUGCUAGGGCUAUUACCCGCGCAGACAUCCAUGUGGGUCAUAAGUUUCCACCUUUAAUAAUUAGAGGUGCAUAAAUAUAAAAGUUACCAUAGGGAUAACAGCGUAAUUUUACCGAAGAGUUCUUAUCGAUGGUAAAGAUUGCGACCUCGAUGUUGAAUUGCGGUAUCCUGAGGGUGCAGCCGCUCUC
This 573-nucleotide ribosomal RNA is filed under the name Calvadosia campanulata. RNAcentral describes it as "partial 16S ribosomal RNA". It matches the Rfam family "Bacterial large subunit ribosomal RNA", at positions 1841 to 2566 of the family's 2925-position model. The record is from RNAcentral. Lineage: Eukaryota; Metazoa; Cnidaria; Staurozoa; Stauromedusae; Kishinouyeidae.